GAUGAACGCUGGCGGCGUGCCUAACACAUGCAAGUCGAGCGAUCUUCUUCGGAAGAGAGCGGCGGACGGGUGAGUAACGCGUGGGUAACCUGCCUCAUACACAUGGAUAACAUACCGAAAGGUAUGCUAAUACAAGAUGAUAUAAGAGAUUCGCAUGGAUUUCUUAUCAAAGCUCCGGCGGUAUGAGAUGGACCCGCGUCUGAUUAGCUAGUUGGUAAGGUAAUGGCUUACCAAGGCGACGAUCAGUAGCCGACCUGAGAGGGUGAUCGGCCACAUUGGAACUGAGACACGGUCCAAACUCCUACGGGAGGCAGCAGUGGGGAAUAUUGCACAAUGGGCGAAAGCCUGAGUGCGAGCAACGCCGCGUGAGCGAUG
Molecule: ribosomal RNA, 375 nt
Filed under: uncultured bacterium
Lineage: Bacteria
Description: bacterial SSU rRNA
Rfam family: Bacterial small subunit ribosomal RNA
Source: RNAcentral